RNAcentral lists this ribosomal RNA (302 nucleotides) under uncultured Pseudomonas sp. Its description in RNAcentral is "bacterial SSU rRNA". It matches the Rfam family "Bacterial small subunit ribosomal RNA", at positions 1084 to 1382 of the family's 1533-position model. The record is from RNAcentral. Lineage: Bacteria; Pseudomonadati; Pseudomonadota; Gammaproteobacteria; Pseudomonadales; Pseudomonadaceae.
GUCCCGUAACGAGCGCAACCCUUGUCCUUAGUUACCAGCACGUUAUGGUGGGCACUCUAAGGAGACUGCCGGUGACAAACCGGAGGAGGGUGGGGAUGACGUCAAGUCAUCAUGGCCCUUACGGCCUGGGCUACACACGUGCUACAAUGGUCGGUACAAAGGGUUGCCAAGCCGCGAGGUGGAGCUAAAUCCCCAUAAAAACCGAUCGUAGUCCGGAUCGCAGUCUGCAACUCGACUGCGUGAAGUCGGAAUCGCUAGUAAUCGUGAAUCAGAAUGUCACGGUGAAUACGUUCCCGGGCCUU